UACGGAAGGCAGCAGUGGGGAAUAUUGCACAAUGGGCGCAAGCCUGAUGCAGCCAUGCCGCGUGUAUGAAGAAGGCCUUCGGGUUGUAAAGUACUUUCAGCGGGGAGGAAGGCGAUGCGGUUAAUAACCGCGUCGAUUGACGUUACCCGCAGAAGAAGCACCGGCUAACUCCGUGCCAGCAGCCGCGGUAAUACGGAGGGUGCAAGUGUUAAUCGGAAUUACUGGGCGUAAAGCGCACGCAGGCGGUCUGUUAAGUCAGAUGUGAAAUCCCCGGGCUUAACCUGGGAACUGCAUUUUGAAACUGGCAGGCUUGAGUCUUGUAGAGGGGGUAGAAUUCCAGGUGUAGCGGUGAAAUGCGUAGAGAUCUGGAGGAAUACCGGUGGCGAAGGCGGCCCCUGGGACAAGACUGACGCUCAGGUGCGAAAGCGUGGGGAGCAAACAGGAUUAGGAUACC
RNAcentral lists this ribosomal RNA (454 nucleotides) under uncultured bacterium. RNAcentral describes it as "bacterial SSU rRNA". It matches the Rfam family "Bacterial small subunit ribosomal RNA", at positions 340 to 786 of the family's 1533-position model. The record is from RNAcentral.